GUCAGCGAACGAGCGCGCGCAAUAGCGCGGGGCAGGGGUCGCCGCGGCCGGAAGCCCACGCGGGGGGUUGCAGGGACGGGUCGUAAGGGGCGGGGCGGGCCUCGAGGAGGCGGCGGUGGGGUCCCCGGACCUCCGCGCGUGGCACAGCCCGCAUCCUGAACUGACUCCCACUCGAGGACCACCUCUCCUCUCCCUUCUGAGGGCGGAACGGAAAGGCCAAGCGCCUCCUCGCCUCGGGAGCUGCAGGACGCCCUAAUUCAGCCGAGUCGCCGCGUGCCCGGGUGCCCGCGAACAGCAGGAGAGAGGACGGGCGCUGGCCCCACAGGGGUCGCUUUACCCCUUGAAGAGCUCCUCGCUGCCUGCCCUGGGGGUGGUGGGCGUCCAGGUUCACAGGGUACUUGAGCUUGCUGGGGUGGGGGUGUGUAUGAAGUGCGUCCAGGGUUUUGUGGAGCGCGUCUAGCAGUUGCUCUACUUCUUACUGACAGUGAAACAAGGGCGCCCACGACAGGUGUUCCCUUUUCGCUGUCGCUGCCAGGAAGCUUCCAGCCAGGUUCAGCGCCCAGUGGUGUCAGCCGGCCCAUCUCGAGCCUUGGUUCCGCUGUCAUCUUCUGGUGCUUAUUCUGGUGUUUAUCCAACUGUCCGUUUUGAAAUUAUGUUCCCAAGCCAUUUAACACCUCUGGAGAACCAAAGCACUGGCUGUCAGCGGAGCGGGAUGCACGCGCAGCGGAGGGGACUGGGCACGCCAACCCCACGAGGGUUCCUGCGGAGAUGACACGGACCUUGAGGUCUGAAGCCAAAGGACGAUUUGUGUGAAGGGAUUUUAUUGUUAGCUUUGGAGCCAGCAACAAGAACACAGCCCUGGAGUUCCCGGGGCAAAAAGGAUACCAAGAUAAUAAUUCAGGUAUUACGACUAACAUGACUGCAUUUGCACCCACAGGCUGUGGGACUUGGGGACGUUUGAGCUACAUCCAAAAUACAUGAGAAAAUCACACAAGUGAAAUUGGAUGAGAGUGCGAGGGGUGAAGUGAUACAUUAUGACCUAGAAUUAGGGGAGGCUUCCUGGAGCAGGUGACAUUUGCAUUGGGUCUUGAUUGGGAAGAGUGGAACCCAGCAGUCUAGAUAGGGUCCAGAGGUAGGAGGUACCUCGCAUCCCAGGCUGCCUCAGUUCAUGGUGAGAGUGCAGAUAUUUAGUGAAACAGGAGGAAAGGACACUUGGAAAUACACCAUGAAAGAAGGAUUGAAGUUCUUGCAGACACAUGGGAGUGUCCGAGGCUUUAUUCUCCUUCCACCUUGAGCCAGUGGAAUUGCAGUGUCUUUUUUCUACACCUAUGCAGUUUUUUCUACACCUGUGCAGUUUUUUCUAGGGGAAGAUCAGACCCUCCUCUUUGGGAGGAACUCUUGCUUCUUUAGAUAAUAGCAGUGACAUUUUCUAGCCUGAAAAUUAUGAUGUAUGCCCUGAUAGGUUUAAUUAUUUGAGAAGUUCUCACAAAGGUAUACAGAUGUGCUAAGAGUAUCAAGUCAAGUGAGUGACUCUCAAGCUUCAUUAUGGGGAAGAAUAUUUGGUUUGCUUGUUAAAAUGCAGAUUCCGGCCGGGAGCAGUGGCUCAUGCCUGUAAUCCCAGCACUUUCAAAGGCCAAGGCGGGCGGAUCACGAGGUCAGGAGAUCGACAUGGUGAAACCCCGUUUCUACUAAACCCCAACAUGGUGAAACCCCGUUUCUACUAAAAUACAAAAAAUUAGCCAGGCAUGAUGGUGUGCGCCUGUAGUCCCAGCCGCUCAGGAGGCUGACACAGGGGAAUCGCUUGAACCUGGGCGGUGGAGGUUGCAGUGAGCUGAGAUCGCGCCACUGCACUCCAGCCUGGCGACAGAGCAAAACUCUAUCUCAAAAAAAAAAAAAAAAAAAAAAAUGCAGAUUCCUGGGUCCCACCCCCAAAAGAUGCUAAUUUUGUAGAUCUGAGUAGGACCUAAGGGUCUGCAUUUUUAAUACUGAAGCAUGUGGUCUUCAAGCUUAUGGCAUGUAGUAGGGACAGGACGAAAAAUGAAACUGGAGAAUGAAAUGAAACCGAGUCAGUAUGAGAAGGGCCUCAUGCACAGCACCUGGAGUUUGGACUUCAUCCCGUGGUCUGCAAUAAAGUUAGCAUUAACAUUAUUAGCUGCCAGGCCAACAAAACCUUGAGUAAUCCUGCAAUACUCGGAAUCAAGAAAAGUGGCUACAUCAUGGUCAACUUUGAAGAACAUCAGCCUCAAGAUCUUUUAUACUAACUCAUAUGUUUAUUAAAAUCUAUUACUAAAACAGAUUUUUAAAAAUUAUCUUGAGGUUAUAAUGAGACAUAGUGCUUCUACCUAAUUCCUAUUGGGAAAAAAAAAUGUUGAGAUUUGGGGACCAAGAAAAAAAAUUCUGAUCGCUUUUUUUUUUUUUUUUUUUGAGAUGGUGUCUCUCUCUGUCACGCAGGCUUGGAGUGCAGUGGCAUGAUUUUGUCUCACUGCAACCUCUGCCUCCCGGGUUCAAGUGAUUCUCCUGCCCCAGCCUCCUGAGUAGCUGGAAUUUCAGGCACCCACCACCAAGCCCAGCUAAUUUUUGUAUUUUUAGUAGAGACAAGGUUUCACCAUGUUGGCCAGGCUGAUCUCAAACUCCUGACCUCAAAUGAUCCACCUGCCUUGGCCUCCCAGAGUGCUGGGACUACAGGCAUGAGCCACCGCUCCCAGCUGAUUGCUUUCAAUUAGUAUUGAUAAUAGUUUGAAACUGGGACAAGUAGCCUAGUCUUGGCAGUCUUUCUGCUCCUUAGCUCAGCUAGGUCCAAGUUCUUGUCUCACAACCAGGAAAAACUAGGCACACAGACACCGGAAAGUGAGUGGAGUGGAAUUGAUUAAGCAAAAGGAAAGCUCUCAGCAAAGAGCGAAUGCUGGGAGCAGUUCCCCUACCCGAAAGUGGGAAAAUCCCCUCUCAUGUGGCUGAGCCUGGGGCUUUUAUGCACUCAGAAUGGGGAGUGCAUGCUGAUUGGUUUGUGAGUUUGCAAAAAAAGGUUAAAGCAAAGACACCACUCAAAGGCAGGCACGACAGUGUAGAAAACCAAUUAGAAAGGGUAAGUAUACGUAAAAUAGGUGAAGGGUGGAGAUCAGAGGAAAGCGUGCCAAACAGGAAGACAAGUUCUCAAUCUAGUCUGAAAAUUUAACUUGUAGUUUGGCUUUCAGGCUUUAAACUGUCUUCAGCUUGGAGGUGGGGUUUCACCGGGGACCUGCCUCUAUCUGCCUAGGCGUUUGACUGUCUUCUGUUGCUGUCACUAGUAGCACAAUAUAAAGAUUUUGUGCUACUGUUUCACAGUGAUUUGCAAUUAGUGCUUUUUUUUGUCAUGUAGUUUUGUUUUUAGUGCAUUAUUCUUUAGGAGAAUUUAUCCGUGAAGCUUGGGUAUCACAGCUUACUGCUAUGUCCUUGAUUUAUACUUCUCAUUGACUGUGAGAAGUGAUGGCUAGUUUUCCUGCUGUGAGCAGGUUUGGUGAUAUACAAUACCAUUCGCAAGAUGUUAUAUAUGUGCAUUGUCACAUUUCUUUCAAAAAUGAUAUUUCCAAUUUUUCCAAACAUUCAUAUCUUCUUUCUGGCCAUCAUACUGAUUUUAUUACCAAAAUAAAAUCUUAUCAUUAACUCUGAAAACAAUUUAAAUAACUAUAAGCCAUAGUUAGGGAAUGAUUUUUAAUAAAACCUAGAUACAAACACCAUCAUUUUCUCCUCUAAUAGCAGGUUGUCUUGCCUGACUCUCAAAAAUGAGGGAGCUAAAUCAUACAGAUAGGUGACAUGUUCAUGGCUAUAAGGAACACCAUAGCAUAAUAUUUGGACAGUAAGACAUAAUACAUAUCCUGAAAAAACUUUGAUGUGUAGUCAGUGUAACCCUUGUCCCCUGUCCUCCUCCCUAACCUCAGGAAAGAUCCACACUUCCACAUUUAUUCCCUACCCACCUUUGGUUUUGAAUCCUCAUUUCCACAGAUGCAGCAUGACAUCUGUAACCCCUACAAAUCUGCAUACCCCUCCAGCCUUCCCAGAACUUCAUUCCCUCCAUCUUCAUUGCCUUAGCUCCUUUUGUCUUUAAGUAUUCACUCACUAAGUCAAGAAAAUAUUGGAGGGGGGGUGGGGCAAAACAACUAGGCUUUAAAGGUGGGGGAUUACCCAGAUCAACACAAGUCUCCCACUUGAACAACUGCUCUUUGACACCUGUACCCUGAGAUGUGACUAUGGAUUAAAGUCAUAGCACCCCUGCCUCCAGGUUGGAAAGUUUUAUGGAAAAUGAACAUAUUUUAUUAGAAGACAAUGAGAACUUCCUGGAGCAGAUGAGUAAACACACCCUCAUGUUUACCUGAUAACUGAAAUCAAAGAUGAGGUGUAGCCUCUGGUUUGAAAUGUUACAAAGUGUAAAAUUAAGAUAAAGGCAGAAAAAUGAAAAGGAAAUAGCCAGUUUUGAAGCAGAAGAACUCAGUGGGACAGGGGCCAAAUCAGUGAAAGAGGUGCUGCUCAGAUACCAGAUUUAAUGACAACCAAAGUGGCCCAAAUAUCCAAAAAAAAUUGCGCUUCUGAAAACCAGUAGGAGGUUGCAGUGGACUAAAGAUGGCCACAAAAUUUUUAUCGUUUUCCCCGUCAAGAAUGGGAGUUUAUUUUUCAUCAUCUUGAAUCUGGCCCUGUGACUGCAUCACCAAGAAGACACUGCAGAAGUGAUGCUCUGCCAGUUCUGGUUCUAGUCUUUUAGAAGACUGUUAGCCUCUACUUCCUCUUUCUUCAAAUGAGCUCUCUUGGGACACCCUCUCUCAGAACCAAACCACCAUGCAUGGGGCAUGUGUGGCCUCUUCACUCAGGAGCCCCAGCAGAGCAACCAGCCAGUACUGAGCAUCAAGUGCCAGUCAUGUGAAUGAGCCAUCUAGGAUGUUCUUUGGUCAAGUCUAUACAAAAGAACUUACCAGCUGAGCCCAGCCAACACAUAGAAUUAUGAAAUAGUAAAAUGAUUAUUGUUUAAAGUCAUGAAAUUUUGCAGUUUUUUUAAUAUAGCAAUAGAUAACCAAAAUCAAGAUUAAAUAAAAUAUCAGAUGAUUAAAAUGGAGCAUGAAAAUGGAGUUAACUUUGUAAGAAGAACCACAACCCCAAUGAUCAUGACUUAGAGGAAAGUUCAGUAAAUAAAACAGAAAAUAUUGAAAAAGGCUGUUUCAUUUUAAACCUGUGUCAAGCUCCUAGACCUAAAAUGACACUUGAAAUUGUCCUCCAUUAGAAUUCAUUGUGCUACAGAUUUUCUCUCAUUCUGUUACAUAUAUUUAUUUAAUGAAGUAGAGAAAUUCUUCUCUCAUAAGCUAAUGCUGCAAGGUGUUUUUAUAUGUAUUAUAUGUAUAUGUACAUACAUAUAUUUUUUAUAUUAACAUAACAGUUUAUAAUAAAUGUUUAAGUGUUUUAUAAUAAUAUUUAUACAUUUAUCACCAUAUAUACACACACACAAAUAUAUGUAUACACACACAUAUACAUACAUAUAAAUGUCUGGGGAUAGAAAGUGAGACCCUCAGAAUCUUGGAUGUAGCCUGACUGCUCUGCACCCAACUGGGGAGGAGUGAGGGGAGAAGAAAGUAGAGUUCCAGCCAGAAAGGUGACAGAAGACUGCCCAAAGCUUCAUGUAACCAAUCCCUCAAGCCUGCGGAAAAGUUACUAAAUGUUUGGUGCCAGUGCCUUCCUGCAGAGUCAGUGAUGCUUAUGCUUGGUACUGAAUCAGAGACAGCACCUUCAACCAUAGUCACACGUCUGCAAAAGACAGAAAAAUCCAGUCUGAUAGCUUUGUUCUAUGUAUUUGUUCGUGUUUACACCAAGGAUUGUAGCCUGCAGCUCCUGAUCUUUUAUUCUGAAACGUUCUGGAAGUAGUAAAGGCUACUCUAUAACAUACUUGUUUUAAUAAAUGUAUUCUCCAUUUUUUAAUGCAAAACUGGCACAACCAAGAGAGGUGCCAUAUUUUGACUCAUAUUUUUACUUCACCUCUUCAUAUAACACUUCAUUCAGUGUCCUCAAUCAGGUUCUCAUUCAGGUUCUCAAUAGAGGCCAAUUUUGCACCCCCCACCCCCUGCAGCA
RNAcentral lists this long non-coding RNA (6084 nucleotides) under Homo sapiens (human). Its description in RNAcentral is "non-protein coding lnc-CCT8-6:3". Lineage: Eukaryota; Metazoa; Chordata; Mammalia; Primates; Hominidae. The record is from RNAcentral.